AUUAAAUUAAUAAAUUGAACGCAAUCCCUUUUAUUCCAACAGGCGAAUUUAAACUAUUACGAAAAAGGGGCAAUUGAAAAUUUUACCCGAUAAAAACUACUAAUAUUAAAAUUCAAACAGUUUAUAUUUUAAAUAUUUAAAUCUGUAAAAAUAAUUUAAAUAAUAAAUAAUUAAUUAUAUAAUUUUUCAAAAUAAAUGUUUUAAAGUUUAUUUUAAAAAUUCUCGGUUAAAUAAUUUCGUUAUUAUUUGCAAUUAAAAAAUUAAUUUAUUUACUCUCCGAGAUAAAAUUCUAACUAAAUAUUAUAACAAACAUUAAAAAUAAUAUACUAACUAUUUUUGGUAUUUUUAAUAUCGAAUUUUUAUUUUUUAAUAAAUAAAUAAAAGAAAUCAUAUUGUUUAGUACCGCUAAAAAUUGGCAAAUUAAUUACCAAAUCUGGUAAGUUUACUUAUAUUAUCCGAUAAAACAUAUUAAGAAAAAAAAUUAAAAUAUAAAACUUUUCUUUUUAUAUAAUUAUUUUAAAUUUAUUAAUUAUAUGGUAUUGGAAAAAAUUUAUAUAUUUUAACCGCGGAUUAAAUAUUUAAACUCGUAUAAUUUUAUAAAUGGCGUUCGAAUUUUAAAAUUCAAAAAUAAAUAACGAAUUAAUUAUUAUUAUUUAUAAGAUAUUAUCCGGUGUUUAUUUUAAUCGCGAAAAAACUAUGCCGAUAAUUUACUACCAUUAAUCUAUUUGCACCUAUCGACGAAGAUUUUACUUUGAGGAAAAGAAAGGAAACAAACAAAGUUUUGAAUUUAACGCGACGUAGAUAAAGGUAUUA
Molecule: small RNA, 813 nt
Filed under: Pyricularia oryzae
Lineage: Eukaryota; Fungi; Ascomycota; Sordariomycetes; Magnaporthales; Pyriculariaceae
Description: Magnaporthe oryzae sRNA M_BR32_EuGene_00087251
Source: RNAcentral